GUGAGGAAUAUUGCGCAAUGGAGGCAACUCUGACGCAGCCAUGCCGCGUGCAGGAAGAAGGCGCUACGCGUUGUAAACUGCUUUUAACCGGGAAGAAACCCCAGGACGUGUCCUGGGUUGACGGUACCGGAGGAAUAAGCACCGGCUAACUUCGUGCCAGCAGCCGCGGUAAUACGAAGGGUGCAAGCGUUAUCCGGAUUCAUUGGGUUUAAAGGGUGCGUAGGCGAAGCGUUAAGUAAGUGGUGAAAUCCUGCAGCUUAACUGUAGACUUGCCAUUGAUGCUGGCGCUCUUGAGUGCGCUUGAAGUGGGCGGAAUGUGCCGUGUAGCGGUGAAAUGCUUAGAUAUUACAUGGAAUACCAAUUGCGAAGGCAGGUUACUACUUGUGGAUUGACGCUGAUGGACGAAAGCGUGGGGAGCGAACAGGAUUAGAUACCCUGGUAGUCC
This 445-nucleotide ribosomal RNA is filed under the name uncultured bacterium. RNAcentral's name for it is "partial 16S ribosomal RNA". It matches the Rfam family "Bacterial small subunit ribosomal RNA", at positions 354 to 796 of the family's 1533-position model. The record is from RNAcentral.